Molecule: transfer RNA, 75 nt
Filed under: Candidatus Babelota bacterium
Lineage: Bacteria
Also listed under: 1 other name
Description: tRNA-Lys
Rfam family: tRNA
About the family: Transfer RNA (tRNA) molecules are approximately 80 nucleotides in length. Their secondary structure includes four short double-helical elements and three loops (D, anti-codon, and T loops). Further hydrogen bonds mediate the characteristic L-shaped molecular structure. tRNAs have two regions of fundamental functional importance: the anti-codon, which is responsible for specific mRNA codon recognition, and the 3' end, to which the tRNAs corresponding amino acid is attached (by aminoacyl-tRNA synthetases). tRNAs cope with the degeneracy of the genetic code in two manners: having more than one tRNA (with a specific anti-codon) for a particular amino acid; and 'wobble' base-pairing, i.e. permitting non-standard base-pairing at the 3rd anti-codon position.
Source: RNAcentral
GGGCUGCUAGCUCAAUGGCAGAGCAACAGACUCUUAAUCUGUGGGUUCUUGGUUCGAGUCCAAGGCAGCCCACCA